This is a non-coding RNA of Canis lupus familiaris (dog), 143 nucleotides long. The record is from RefSeq and is marked provisional. NCBI's taxonomy places the organism in Eukaryota, Metazoa, Chordata, Mammalia, Carnivora, Canidae.
UGCCAGUUCUUCCCAGCGGCCCAGCUCCCUAACCUCGGCUUCCUCCUCGUGGUGAGCCUGGGCUCUAGCCUGCCCAGCUCAGAGCCCAUUACCUGCAGACACGAAGAAGAUGCCGGCACUCAGGAUGAUGUUGUGUCGAGUCU